CUCGGGUGAAGGAACUAGGCAAAAUGGUGCCGUAACUUCGGGAGAAGGCACGCUGACACGUAGGUGAAGUGGUUUACCCAUGGAGCUGAAGUCAGUCGAAGAUACCAGCUGGCUGCAACUGUUUAUUAAAAACACAGCACUGUGCAAACACGAAAGUGGACGUAUACGGUGUGACGCCUGCCCGGUGCCGGAAGGUUAAUUGAUGGGGUCAGCGCAAGCGAAGCUCCUGAUCGAAGCCCCGGUAAACGGCGGCCGUAACUAUAACGGUCCUAAGGUAGCGAAAUUCCUUGUCGGGUAAGUUCCGACCUGCACGAAUGGCGUAAUGAUGGCCAGGCUGUCUCCACCCGGGACUCAGUGAAAUUGAACUCGCUGUGAAGAUGCAGUGUACCCGCGGCAAGACGGAAAGACCCCGUGAACCUUUACUAUAGCUUGACACUGAACACUGGUCCUUGAUGUGCAGGAUAGGUGGGAGGCUUUGAAGUGUGGACGCCAGUCUGCAUGGAGCCAUCCUUGAAAUACCACCCUUUAAUGGCUGGUGUUCUAACGUGGGCCCGUGAACCGGGUUGCGGACAGUGUCUGGUGGGUAGUUUGACUGGGGCGGUCUCCUCCUAAAGAGUAACGGAGGAGCACGAAGGUUGGCUAAUCCUGGUCGGACAUCAGGAGGUUAGUGCAAUGGCAUAAGCCAGCUUGACUGCGAGCGUGACGGCGCGAGCAGGUGCGAAAGCAGGUCAUAGUGAUCCGGUGGUUCUGAAUGGAAGGGCCAUCGCUCAACGGAUAAAAGGUACUCCGGGGAUAACAGGCUGAUACCGCCCAAGAGUUCAUAUCGACGGCGGUGUUUGGCACCUCGAUGUCGGCUCAUCACAUCCUGGGGCUGAAGUAGGUCCCAAGGGUAUGGCUGUUCGCCAUUUAAAGUGGUACGCGAGCUGGGUUUAGAACGUCGUGAGACAGUUCGGUCCCUAUCUGCCGUGGGCGCUGGAAGAUUGAGGGGGGCUGCUCCUAGUACGAGAGGACCGGAGUGGACGCAUCACUGGUGUUCGGGUUGUCAUGCCAAUGGCACUGCCCGGUAGCUACAUGCGGAAGAGAUAAGUGCUGAAAGCAUCUAAGCACGAAACUUGCCCCGAGAUGAAUCUUCCCUGAGCCUUUAAGGCUCCUGAAGGAACGUUGAAGACGACGACGUUGAUAGGCCGGGUGUGUAAGCGCAGCGAUGCGUUGAGCUAACCGGUACUAAUGAACCGUGAGGCUUAACCUU
Molecule: ribosomal RNA, 1249 nt
Filed under: Salmonella enterica
Lineage: Bacteria; Pseudomonadati; Pseudomonadota; Gammaproteobacteria; Enterobacterales; Enterobacteriaceae
Also listed under: 1 other name
Description: partial 23S ribosomal RNA
Rfam family: Bacterial large subunit ribosomal RNA
Source: RNAcentral